Molecule: long non-coding RNA, 1915 nt
Organism: Raphanus sativus (radish)
Lineage: Eukaryota; Viridiplantae; Streptophyta; Magnoliopsida; Brassicales; Brassicaceae
Exons: 8
Source: RefSeq, a predicted model, not a curated record
CUAAUACACUCCGACCCGAAUAAUUAUCCUGAACCCGACCCGACACUCACUGUGCCCAUGACUUCCCGCUCCGUCGUCAUUUCCAAUUUUGAUUUUGAAAUUAUAUAUUUUCCCAAAGGCUCUCUCUCCUCCGAACAACGUCUCUUUCUCUAAAAAAUGGCUCCUCCCUUUGUUUUCCCCCAAAUUAUACGAACCCUAGCAGAAGAUCCGGAAGACAAUCACAGCUUGUUCGCCCAGAAUCCCGUCGACGGUGACCUCUCUUCGCCCUUCCGAUCUCGAAGAAUUCGUCAGAGGAUCACAUCUCAUCGCAAUGCCUUGAAUUGAAGAUAUACAUUUUCUUUCUCAUCAUUAUUGUCAUGACUGAAGAAUCACAUGUUAUCUCUGUUCACAGCACCAAGGUUGCAGCAAGAGGGAGGAAGAAGCAGAUUGUUCAGUCAUGGAACUGGGAGCCUCAGAGGGGGACGAUGCUUAAUUUUGAUUGCAAACUCUCUUGAGAUCAACCUGUCCUUGCUCUUUUCAUGAUAAGUCCAUCUAUGAGGCUGUGGAGAAUGCCUUCAUUUUAAUCUACAUAAGGAAAAAUCCAGUUGAAAUGGCCAAACAGUUGUUGAACCUUGCCAUAGAUUCGAAUAUAGGAGAUCAAGCAGCAUUAGAGUUUAUUGUUAAUGCUUUAGUGUCCAAAGGUGAAAUUUCUAGCAGCAUGACUUCGGCUCUGUGGUACUUCUUUUGGUUUAACAUCAAUGGGACAACUGCUGAGCAAAGUCGUGCGGCUCAUGGCUGCAAAGUCGUCCUCUAGGAUUCUUGGAUUCCAUCAAAAAGGACAAACUGAUGGAGGCUCUGGUUGACAAGCUUGGCAAUAGAUUUAGCGGAGUCACAAAAACAAAACAGUGGGAAUACAUUUGGUAUUCUCUUUCGUUGCUGACGUUCACCGAGAAGGGAAUCAAAAAGCUUAUCGAGUCAUUCAAAUCCUACGAGUACGCUCUAGCAGAGGAUCUAGUGACAGAAAAUUGUAGAAGCAUAAUCAAUAAGGUAACAUUUCUCUGGUUUGCUUCACUCAUGCCAUUCUCUUCAUGUUUCUAGUGUUGUUUGUGAGUUUGCCAUCUGGUUGUGAAUCUGAACAUGGGGAAAAGUUUGCGAAACAGAACUUAAAGCGUGCAUGGAAGAGUUUGAGGAGAAGCUCAACAAGUUCCUCAUGGAAAAGAAAGAAAAAGAAAAACCGCAAGAAACGCUCAGGUUCAUGUAGAGAAAGCCAAGAAUAUGGAAUCUCUUGUUUUUUUUUUUUUUUUUUUUGAGAAAAGGGCAAUGGAAUCUCUUGUUGUCCCCAACAAAGUGAAAGAAGAACCUGUACAAGAAUAUGAUCAAGAUGAAGGUUAGUAAUGUUGCAUCAUGGCUAUAGCAUAGUUCAUUGUACCAGACGGAUAAUCUUUAUCUCUCUCCUCUCUUUCUAAAGCACCCUUUUAGUGUGGUUCUUAGAUGCUUCAGACAGUGAAAUUGUGGAUCCAGCUAUGGAAGAAGCAGGGAAUAAUUUGAAAGCAUCCAACUCCGAGGAAGAGACAGAUUCUGAGCGAAGUCAUACCACGAAUCCUCUCAUUCCUUAAACCAAAACACCAGUGGCGGGGAAGAAAGCGAAUCAGAAAGCAGGAACGUCAAGAGAGGAAACCGUACAGAAUCAUCGAGACACCUCAGAAGAAGCCUGAGGUCAUCAAGUAGAACGCAAAGAAACUGUGUCAGGGCAGGGCAGGGCAGAGAGAGUGUGUGGUUAAGUUACAACUAGGUCUGUUUUUGGUCACUGCUUUCGUUUUCGUUUUUUUUUGCUCUAUGAUGCUUUAGACAUUGAAGAAUCAAUCAUAUCUAUUUGUCUAUGGUAAUACGAUAAAUGUUCAGCUGUGAUAAACUUGUAGCGACUACUUCCUGAAUU